Molecule: small nucleolar RNA, 81 nt
Filed under: Macaca fascicularis (crab-eating macaque)
Lineage: Eukaryota; Metazoa; Chordata; Mammalia; Primates; Cercopithecidae
Description: Small nucleolar RNA U3 (ENSMFAG00000062950.1)
Rfam family: Small nucleolar RNA U3
About the family: Small nucleolar RNAs (snoRNAs) are involved in the processing and modification of rRNA in the nucleolus.
Source: Rfam by way of RNAcentral
AAGACUACACUUUCAGGGAUCAUUUCUGUAGUUUGUUACUAGAGAAGCUUCUCUGAACGUGUAGAGCUCCAGAACACAUAG